Molecule: ribosomal RNA, 423 nt
Filed under: uncultured bacterium
Lineage: Bacteria
Description: bacterial SSU rRNA
Rfam family: Bacterial small subunit ribosomal RNA
Source: RNAcentral
AUCUUCCGCAAUGGACGAAAGUCUGACGGAGCAACGCCGCGUGAGUGAUGAAGGCUUUCGGGUCGUAAAACUCUGUUGUUAGGGAAGAACAAGUACGAGAGUAACUGCUCGUACCUUGACGGUACCUAACCAGAAAGCCACGGCUACCUACGUGCCAGCAGCCGCGGUAAUACGUAGGUGGCAAGCGUUAUCCGGAAUUAUUGGGCGUAAAGCGCGCGCAGGCGGUUUCUUAAGUCUGAUGUGAAAGCCCACGGCUCAACCGUGGAGGGUCAUUGGAAACUGGGGAACUUGAGUGCAGAAGAGAAAAGCGGAAUUCCACGUGUAGCGGUGAAAUGCGUAGAGAUGUGGAGGAACACCAGUGGCGAAGGCGGCUUUUUGGUCUGUAACUGACGCUGAGGCGCGAAAGCGUGGGGAGCAAACAGG